GGGGGGUGGGGGGGGUGGAGCCAAACAAGGUAAAUCCUGUUCCUGCCUUGUGGAUUGCCCCGUAGUGUCACCCUCCGGGAUCUCUGCUUACUAGUCACUCUUGCUUGUGCCUUUUACACCUUCUCGGUGCAGAUUCUAUAAUGGGGAGCUGCCUCAGAUUUCCUGACUGGCCAGAAUGGCUGUUACUGAGGUUACCUUUGCCCACCCUUGUCACCCUCUCCUUUGACGGCCCUAAACCAGUCCAUGAACCUGAGUCACCGGAUGGCCUGACCUGUCACAGAGCUGCCAGCGGAGCCCGCCCGCUGGCCCCGGGGCAGCGUGGCCUCCGUGUAGGAGCAGCCGCUAGGCUCCUGCGGGCUCCUCGCUGCUGGUGAUCACGUGCUUUUCAGUGGGUUGGUCGGAGGUAGCCGCCUGACCUGAGGCCUCCACACAGAGGACCGGUUCCUUAACCCGGAGAUCUUCUCGUGUGACUGAUCUUCCAUUAAACACAGGAUGACUUAGAUUGCUUGCUUGGGCUGGAAUGUAAAAGUCUCUUUGCCUGAAUAAGCCAUAUAUGCUCUUAAACAAAAGUGUUCAGUUACCCGUAUCCUAUGAUCUCAGUGAACCUGCUGACGGACUCCCAAUUGACAAGAUUGAGCAAUAGAAAAAAACUUUUCCUUUAAAUGAUAGCUGUGAUUCCCCGACCCCGUUUUCUUGCUUCUGUAACUUCUCCGGUGACUGAGGCAUCUGGGAGGUCAGCUCUCGGGCACCUUUGUUCAGUGACGCUCUGUCUGAAUAAAUGGCACCCGUGAGGUAGGUCAGCUCUCAUGGCUGUGAAGAUAAACCCCACGCACUCAAGGUGAUGGAAACAAACCCCCCACGAGGGCUCUGUCCUCUCCUAGUUACUAUUUAUUUUCAGCACCUGUUCGAUGCGGUUUUUUAUUCUCUACCUAUUGCACUGUUGUGACUUGUUGGCCAUUGUUUGAUUUUUGUACGAAAAAAAGCUUUGUUAUAGAAAUCAGCAUACUAUUUUUUUAAAUCUGGAGAGAAGAUAUUAUGGUGACUGAAAAUAUGGUCAGGUGUCAAAUAUAAACGUAUAAAAGCCUUCUUGCUGUCCUGUCGGUCAUAUUACACUUAUUUUAUAUUUGCUGGCAAUAUCGAAGGUUUCUUUUUUGUUUGUGUAAACUCUAAUUUCUAUCAAGGUGUCAUGGAUUUUUAAAAUUAGUAUUUCAUUACAACUGUCUCCGCAUUCGUUAACUAAUUUUUGCCAGGACCAUUAUUGAUCAAACAAAUAAAUUCGACAGCCAUUUGAGGAAAAACAAACCAACAAACAAAAGCAUCUUGUUUUUUUGUGCACCUUCUUUCUUUGAAGUAGCGUCCUGUGGCUGACAAGGAGUUGGUCUGAUACUGCUUCCAAGAGUGAACUAACCUUCUGUUCGGACUCUCCGUGUGUUCCUCGCCCCGGUGGACUUGGUGCCCCUUGCUGGUUUCUAGGGUUUACUGUGCUCCUUCCCAAUAGGUGCUUACCUGCUGAGGGAGCACGUCUGCACAGCCAGCUGACCGGGAUCGGGUCUGCAGCUUCUUCUGUGAGCGACGUCCUGUGGACAGUGGAACGUGCCCUUCGAAAAUGUCGCGCAGGAGUUUGCGUGGUGCUUAGUGGCUGCAGACACGCAGUUAAAGCUUUUGAGAGGUUCCGCGCACCGUGGAGCUACUGUGAUCGUAAGCAGGAUAAUGCUGAGCGCACUUAUCCGGAGUGCACUUCGGAGCCCUUGUUCCCAAGACCCAAGUCAGUCAACAAAGAUUUCCCUGUCGAAGGAGUCAAGUAAGGGCCGCCUGGGUGGCUCAUUCGGUCAAACGGCCGACUCUUGAUCUCCGCUCGGGUCAUGAUCUCAUGGUUUGUGGGUUCGAGCCCCGCAUUGGGCUCUGCACUGACAGCGUGGAGCCUGCUUGGGAUUCUCUCUCUCCACCCGCCCCCCCACCCCCCAGAAAAAAAUAAAAAUUAAAAAAAAUUUUGUUUUGAAGGAGUCACUUAAGCCAGUUGGCUUGUACACAGACCUCAUGUAGCUGGAGUGUCAACCUUCACAUGAGUGUCGAUCCAAGUGCAGGGAGCACAGACACCGCCUUGCUCAGCUGCCGGAUAACUGAGGGCUUUCCUAUCAUGGAGCCCAUCUUUGGCGAGAGAGCUGAGGGUUUUUAGUUGUCAUUGGGCAGCUAAUUGCUUUAGCGGCAGAUUCUUCAGUAUCUUCAGAGUUCAGGAGAGGUUCCUGAUCAUAGCUUCAUUUGCACUUAGCACAGUGAGUAGGGGAAUCUGGUGAAGGACGUGAAUUUGGAAUCGAUUACGCCUCCUGGAAAUUCUGGUUUGAGUCUGUGGCUCGGGACUGGACAGCUGACAGCCAUGAAGGCCAGUCUAAUUUCUGGAUCUGUAGGCUGCUCAGGUGGUUUUAUUCUAGUCAACAUCUUGUGUCUGUUUCUUUGUCCAGAGCAUGGAGGCAAGGUCCCCCGGGUUUGGGGUUAACUGGAGACAGGGAGAUGGAGCCUGAGGGUUAGGGAGCCUGACAGGAUUGAGGGGGCUGAGCUUGUUCCAGAGAAACUGAGGCAUCGGGAAUCAGAGAGACAUUUGUGAGGGACAGAACUAUAGGCUCACCAGCAUCGUGGCAAAUCCCACAGUUGUUUGGAUGCGAUUACCCGCUUGGGAGAACUUUCUGGGCCAGAGGCAAGGCAAAAAAGGCCGAAGAAAAGAAUCCUAAAGACCUUCAUGAUGUAAGAAUUGGGAAAAGGAUGGCCAGAGAGGGAAGGGGGAGUAGAAGGAAACACUCUUGGCCCUGUGUCUUGGGAUGAUGUUGGCUCGAUGACGGCUACUUGCCUUCCUGGUCCGUUUUAUCUUGAGGUCUCCAGCAUUUGCACAGGACUGGAUGUCAGGUGGGGCCAUCUUGUGAAAUAAACACCCAGGGUUCAACGCCUUGCAGUUUGGCAGCACAGAGUACCUGGCGGGGCCUGUCCACGAAUCUCACUGUUACAGAAGCAUCGGAGUAGAGCAACGGUUUGUAAAUGACAGAAGACUUCAACGGGCCCGUGCUUAAGGAGCCGACGGGUUCACCGGAGAAGGAAGUGGAGUUAAUUCUGUGGCAUACGAUCAUUUAGGGUAAUAACUGGACACUGAGAGCUUUGACAGAUCUCUAGAAACUUCGGUUUUCUGGUACAUCCACGCACAUAUAACCUGAGGUUUACUGUACACACAAACCCAAAGCAUUUGACAGCGCUUCCCACAUAUUUGAACAUGUUAAAUUAAUGAGAGAUAGCCUUUGAAAUCUUCCAGGAGCCCUCUGGGAUAAAUCUCAAGCUAGUUUAAAGUUAAAAAGACUAUUGAGAAUUUUAAGAAAAUGUUAAAAGAUUUGAACAUUUGAUUAAACAGGGUAACAGAUAAUUAUGAAAUAAUUGUAUAACAAAAGUGGCAAUAGGAGACGUUAAGGUAGGGGCGCCUGGCCUGGGUGGCUCAGUCAGUGGAGCAUCCGACUUUGGCUGAGGUCAUGAUCUCAUGUUCGUGGGUUCGAGACCCACGUCGGAUCCUGUGCUGACAGCUCAGCCUGGAGCUGUCUUUGGAUUCUGUGUCUCCCUCUCUCUGCUCCUCCCCUGCUUAUGCUCUCUGUCUCUCAAAAAAUAAAACUUUAUAAUUAAAAAAAAAUGUUACGGUAAAUAUAGAAAAUCAAGGUAAAUACAGGUGAACAAAAGUUAGCUUUCUCAGUAUGACAAAGACUGGAUUUUCUUAAGUAAUCAAAGACCUGAUACAAGACUGUAGAAAGCACAGUAAUGUAUUUGGGAAAGAAAACAAUCUUUGCUAUCCAAAGGUUAAAAAAAGAACCACAAAACAACCUUUGCAGCAGUUGCUUAGGUUAUUAGUAGCAGACCAAUAAUCUAAGAAAACUUUGUCCUCUUAACGGAGAGAAAACCAAAUUCUAAUUUUGUACCAGUGUACUUUUGAUAUUAAAACUCAUUUUUUAAAAAACGUUAAUAAGUCUAUUCCAAUCUUAGCCAGCUUGACCACAUGUAAAAUCCUGCCAAGAUUCUCUUUCCACAAACCUACAACUUUUUUCUAUCCAUUCAGAUUUUGUCCUAGGUUUUCUCUUUUAAUUCUGGAAAAUUCAACCAAUCAUUUUACUUUCCUUACCUAUUUUCCAUACACAGAUGUUUCCUUCCGCCCUUACAAUUUCUAAGUAGCUUUAAUUACACACAUUGAGAAGAACUUGGAAGCCUUAGAUCUUUCGUUCCUAGUGAAAACUAAGUAGUAAGCAAAUGUGGACCGUAAAGCCUGCAUUCUGUGGACUGGCAAAUUUAUAAAUACAUUUUCAAAGUUGCUAAAAGCAUAUUCUUUCUCUUGGUAAAAUUUCCAACGCAGCACAAAAACGGGUUUACUGAUAGAUCCGAAUGUCUUCACCUCCUCUGUAAAAGGAAGCCAAAGUGGUUAAAACCUUUGUUGAGUCAAUGUUUUGGUAUUUUUAUCUUAUUUGGAAAGUGAUCUAGAUCCUCCAUGAAUAUCCGUUAUCUGUCUCAGUAUAACUUUAAGGCUUCAAGUUACCAAAAAGAUUUUGAAAACUACUUUUAAGUAGACAUACCAAAAAGCACAGUUGUUGUUGAAAAGUUCAUUUAUAAAGUUUUAUCUUGCAUCUAUUUUAAUUCACUUGCCCUUAACAAUUUAGACCAGUCAUUGAAAUUUUCCUGAUAUUAAGCAGCUAACCACCAUCUUAUCUUUCUUGCUGACAAAAUCGGUAACAGAGAUAAUGUGAGCUUAUUUGAUGUUUAAGUAAACUAAGGUAGAAUAAAAGUUACACGUACAGAUUAUAUUUAAUGUUAGCAACUCUAAAGACAUGCCUUUUGAGUUAAACCAGCAAACUUAAACUAGCUUUUAUUUACUGAAGAUUAUCCUAGAUCACAUGAACUAGAAAAUCAUUUGGGUUAGUUCCUGUAUUUCUGAGAGGAUACUUGAUUUACAUAAUAUUUGUCUGUCUUUAAGCCAAUUAAAUAGGGCUCUUUACAAAUUAAUUUUGGCAACACCUUUUGGAGCUAAAAAAGAAAUCACGUUUAUAACAUACAUUGACAUACAUAAACCUACAGAUGCAAACAGAUCUUGUAGCUUUCAUUUUAAGAUUUUAGCCCAGAUAGCUAAAUAAUACAAAACUCACUAGUUUACAAAAGAAUCAAAUUUUGUUUCUGGCAGAAUGGAGUAAGUUAAGGUUACCUGCUCAGAUGGCUUAAGCUUUUCACUAAUAUCUGUGCAGAAGAUGUUAAAAUAGUUUUCUUUCCUGACAAGCAUUACAUCGGGGAGACCAGGUAGAGAACUCUUCCAUCUCAAAGGCACAGAGAACGAAUGCAAGUUCCGCUGAGAAGGACUUUUGUUCCCUAAGUCCGCAUCUUUCACAAUACCUGCAGGCCUUCUGAGGUGAAGGGGGGCGGUUUUAGGGUUCAUGAAAAUGACAGGUGAGCUUUAGACUGUUUCAGAGCCACGUUUCUAGUCUUGUGAAGGCUCAAUCUGUAAGGCAAACAUGUUUUUAUUUAUUUUUUAAAGUUUGGUUUUAGCAAUCUCUACACCCAGUGUGGGGCUUGAACCCAUGACGCUGAGAUUGAGCCGCUCACUCUUCUGAGCCAGCCAGGCACCAGAAGUACGGUUGUUUUGAAUUCCUUAAAGAAUUGGGUUGCAAUUAGAAUGAUACCAAGAGGCUGCCCCACCCAUCCAGCUACAUUAUCUUUUAAAAAAAUUUGUUUUUAGAGUGUGAGUGGCGGGUGGGACGGGGUGGGGGCAGAGAGAGAGGAUUCCAAGCAGGCUCCAUGAUCAGCCGGAGAGCCUGAUUCAGGGCUUGCUCCCACGACCCUGGGAUGUGACCUGAGCUGAAAUCAAGUGUUGGAUGUUCGACUGAGCCACCCAGGUGCCCCCAACUAUAUUAUCUUCAAUUUGCCUUUUUUUUUUUUU
Molecule: long non-coding RNA, 5941 nt
Organism: Panthera uncia (snow leopard)
Lineage: Eukaryota; Metazoa; Chordata; Mammalia; Carnivora; Felidae
Exons: 2
Source: RefSeq, a predicted model, not a curated record